GAGGCUCUAAUCAAAUCUUCCUUCGUAAGAGUGCUAGCUCAUGUCGAAGGCUUUGGAUGGCUGAUCCAAACUCCUUUCUUUAGAUCUCUCGAACUUUUUCAGAUCCAAAAAUAAAGCUUUAUGAGAAGGUGGUGGUGUGGAAGAUUAGACAAGACUCACUCUUAUAUUUUUCUUCUCACAAAAUCUAGAGAUGAAACCCUGGAACCC
Molecule: long non-coding RNA, 207 nt
Filed under: Elaeis guineensis (African oil palm)
Lineage: Eukaryota; Viridiplantae; Streptophyta; Magnoliopsida; Arecales; Arecaceae
Description: long non-coding RNA (EGUI_LNC071421)
Source: RNAcentral